RNAcentral lists this ribosomal RNA (360 nucleotides) under uncultured bacterium. RNAcentral's name for it is "bacterial SSU rRNA". It matches the Rfam family "Bacterial small subunit ribosomal RNA", at positions 32 to 400 of the family's 1533-position model. The record is from RNAcentral.
AAUCAACGCUGGCGGCGUGCCUAACACAUGCAAGUCGCACGAGAAAGGGGAGGCAAUCCCUGAGUAAAGUGGCGCACGGGUGAGUAACACGUGACUAACCUACCCUCGAGUGGGGAAUAACCUAGGAGAAAUCUGGGCUAAUACCGCAUAACACUUACGAGUCAAAGCAGCAAUGCGCUUGAGGAGGGGGUCGCGGCAGAUUAGCUAGUUGGCGGGGUAAUGGCCCACCAAGGCAAUGAUCUGUAUCCGGCCUGAGAGGGCGCACGGACACACUGGAACUGAAACACGGUCCAGACUCCUACGGGAGGCAGCAGUGGGGAAUUUUGCGCAAUGGGGGAAACCCUGACGCAGCAACGCCGC